CUUAAAGGGCUGGGCGAGGGGUUCCCUCCAGGGCGUCCCCAAAGGCAGGGCCUAGCCCCCGUGUGCCCAGGCUAAGAGUACAACCUCCAUUCAUGCGAGGCUGUGGGUCCCAUGGCUCUAGGCCUCUCCGACCACAUCUGUUAGGUGAGAUGGGUAACCUCGCCAGUAGGCAAAACGGCGCCUGCAGGGACACACGAUACCUCUCACUCCACACACACCCCGCCCCCGAGCUGCGCAUUCACUGAUGGGGAUGCGCCCUAGGAGAUAAGUUCCUUCCCAGGGUUCCGAGGUGGGGGUGUGGAGGAAUGCGAACCCAGGCUGUCCGGGACCGAGGCCGGAGAGUGUGGGGAGCAGGGGCUGCUUCUACCCGCGGAGGCCACCGGGCCCCACCGCCCAGUAGGAGUGCAGACAGCAGUCACCCGUGACGGUGCUCAAGCAGAGGCCAGCGCGUUCUGACAGCCGCCCACAGGUGGGAGUGUGGGGAGGCCUCCCCACGGAAGGCCCCAGGGAAGGUGAGGCGAGGUGCAAGAGCGCGUCUAACAAAAGGACCAGAGCCUCGUGACGCGAGGGCGAGCUCAGUGCGGGAGAGCAGCAGAGCACUGAGGAGCUCUUGCUGUGCGAGAACCAGGCUGUCAUCCCUACAGAAGAAGAAAUAGCUACAGUCCAGGGUGGUGCUGGGCACCCCUUAUCCUGCUGAUGGACAGCAUCCCAGUUUUGGGACCCUGUACAGCAAGCUAUGAUAGACAUCUCGUGUAGGCUCCUGGCGGCCCUGGGGGUGGACUGCUGAGUCACAAGGAAGGCCAUAGACCCAAGCACCAUGAAGAAAACCGCAAGAUUUUUAGAAGACAACAGAGCAGAUUACCUUUGCGACAGUGAACUAGAGAAGAUUUCUUCGAUGAAAUGUCAAAAAUAAGUAAAUAAAGGAAA
Molecule: long non-coding RNA, 927 nt
Organism: Pteropus alecto (black flying fox)
Lineage: Eukaryota; Metazoa; Chordata; Mammalia; Chiroptera; Pteropodidae
Exons: 3
Source: RefSeq, a predicted model, not a curated record